RNAcentral lists this ribosomal RNA (253 nucleotides) under uncultured bacterium. RNAcentral describes it as "partial 16S ribosomal RNA". It matches the Rfam family "Bacterial small subunit ribosomal RNA", at positions 524 to 776 of the family's 1533-position model. The record is from RNAcentral.
UACGAAGGUGGCAAGCAUUACUCGGAAUUACUAGGCGUAAAGGGCAGGUAGGUGGUUCGAUAAGUCUGUUGUGAAAGCUCCCGGCUCAACUGGGAGAGGCCAACAGAAACUAUCAGACUUGAGUAUAGGAGAGGUUACUGGAAUUCCCGGUGUAGCGGUGAAAUGCGCAGAGAUCGGGAGGAACACCAAUGGCGAAAGCAGGUAACUGGACUAUUACUGACACUCAGCUGCGAAAGCUAGGGGAGCAAACAGG